RNAcentral lists this long non-coding RNA (1428 nucleotides) under Eucalyptus grandis. Its description in RNAcentral is "long non-coding RNA (EGRA_LNC001469)". Lineage: Eukaryota; Viridiplantae; Streptophyta; Magnoliopsida; Myrtales; Myrtaceae. The record is from RNAcentral.
UCUCGAGUAACAUUUGGACAUUUCAUUUUUUAAGUUCUUUUUAGCCUAAUUAAAUCUAGGAGUUCCCACUAGCAAUUUGGAAUUGGCUAAAAACCAUAUAAGAUGCAGGAGGCUUGACUCAUUUCCUACGCAACUAGAGAUUCUAAAUACAAGAACUUGAUUACGCUAAUAUUUAUAUCAAUGCCCUUUUGGUGCCUCUAACUCGGAAGGUCGUUGCCUAAGUGGUUAUGCAUUGUUUUUACCAUUUUACUCUUUUUGCAUUUUUCCUCUUACCUUCUGCCUUUUAUUCUAUUAUUUCUUUUGUCCCCAUCAUCUUCCUCCUUCCUCAGAUGGACGAGCCUCUGCCCUGGACUUCUCAGAACUUCCAUCGAUAAAACCCCAAAGGUGCAUUAAACCAAACCUACUCCCGCAAAUCUUGUCACUGGCAACAAUUGCUAACCUCCGAUCAUCAAACGAAAUGCCGUUACUGGACCACCACAGUCAACCACUCCCGGCCACCGAAAUUUAUCAUCGCCGGCCACCCCAUGAAGUAGGGCAAGGCACAGAACAGAUGGAAAGGAAGUGGACGCAGCAACACUCCCAGAAACGACGCAAUAUGGCAGAAAAUGUGAUGUUCAACAACCAUUAAGCAGGCGUCUUAUCACGCAAAACAUAUAGAUAAGCACUCAAGGUAAUUUACAAUCGGGAACAAACUGACACGGAUUCGGUUCCUGCAUUUCGUCGGCAUGCAGCGGAAGUGGGCUGAGGAGAAGGUAUUGACCAUUUUUAGACCUUGAACUCGGAUCUAGACCCAAAGAAAUCAUCAAGAAACACUCGAAAUCAGCCAUAUCAACUCACUCGAACCCAGCGAAUGGAUCAGAAAAAAAUACCAGUCUCGGCCUCCGAUUGGACCAAAAGAGGGCGACGGUUCAUGGGAACGGGGUUUAACCGCUAAGACUCCUACCCGGCUCGAAGCCGACGGCCAUAGUAUGAUUUCGGGACGAGUGAGACUACAGCCGGUUGCCUCCCUUCGUCUCCGAGCCGCAAUCCUCAGAUUAAGGAACUCGAACCGAGCAACUAAAGAAACUCACCUGAAAUGCUGAGAAUCAGGAGAGAGAAGUAGUGAGAAACGACGCCAGCUGGAGGUUGUUGGACGGUGGCAGUGGAAGUGGCCGGUCGGGUGAGGUCCAAAGAGAAAGAGACCCAAAGAGACAAGCAAAGGGAGAUGCGGGACUGAGAGGAGGAGGCGACAAAUGGCUCGGUGAGGGGGCGCCCGUAAUGGCUGCGACUGGUGGUAGCGACUGAGGCUAUGGACGGAGGAGGGUGGUCGACGGUGGUUGAGGUAAGGGGGAAUGGAGAAGAAAAAAGUGCGUGAGAUUUAGAACCAAAAAAAGAGAGUGCGCCUGAGGAUGGAGAUGAGCAAAAAGAAGACCCCGUUUUCUCUUUUCC